UGUAGCAGGGGUGCCCGUGUAAACCGGCUGAGAGUAGGCUGUACUGCCUUAACCCUUUUACCUGAUGCGGAUAAUACCGACGUAGGAAGCUCAUUAUAUUU
Molecule: non-coding RNA, 101 nt
Filed under: bovine gut metagenome
Description: TPP riboswitch (THI element)
Rfam family: TPP riboswitch aptamer (THI element) (bases 4-91)
About the family: Vitamin B(1) in its active form thiamin pyrophosphate (TPP) is an essential coenzyme that is synthesised by coupling of pyrimidine and thiazole moieties in bacteria. The previously detected thiamin-regulatory element, thi box was extended, resulting in a new, highly conserved RNA secondary structure, the THI element, which is widely distributed in eubacteria and also occurs in some archaea.
Source: RNAcentral